This is a long non-coding RNA of Scatophagus argus, 688 nucleotides long. RefSeq lists it as uncharacterized. The record is from RefSeq and is a predicted model, not a curated record. NCBI's taxonomy places the organism in Eukaryota, Metazoa, Chordata, Actinopteri, Scatophagidae. The transcript has 3 exons.
UGCACCCGCAUCAUACACACAUGCCUGUAUAUUUUGGUUGUUUUAUAGCUUGAGCGAAGUUUUAUGGACUCGAUAAAAAUCACACGGAACACACAGGAAACUGGGACAUGCUGCUGCUUAAUUUAUUCCUUCACAGCAUACCUGUUCUCUGCUGCAUUUUUAUCAGGGGUUACUAUCGGCCAAAGUGAAAAUCAGGAAAUCCAUGCUUCCCGAAACGGGAAUAGCUUUCAAGCUCCCACAUCAGUGUCCUCAAAUAUCUGGGAACAAGACAAUCAUUGCCUGUCAGCAAGUGACCUCCAACCCUCUGAAAGGCCAGGAGGCAGUUCUGAAGCUCCUGUGAUGAAUUAAAUGACUAAUCAUUCUGAAUGAGGAUCCCGUUUUAAUAAGACCCCAUACUGGGAGACCUUCACGACGGAGGAAAUAACAUCUCUGAAUUACCAGCGUUUAAUUUUUCCUAUCGUUCACUCCUUUUUGUUUCAGCUACCAGAGCCAGACAGGACUUACUAUGUCAAAACCAGUUACCUGUUGGUUAACAUUAACAUUAACAUUAUUUUGCAUAUAAGAACAUCAGCUCUAAAGUUCUGGAAGUGGAACAACUGGUACUCAUUUUAGGCAAGCCUGAGCAUGUUUGAUUGGUUGUUGAAAAAAAUAAAUAAAAGUAAUCUCUCAUGCAAAGCAGUACAUGAUU